UGGAUAUUUUUUCAAAGAAUA
Molecule: non-coding RNA, 21 nt
Filed under: Caenorhabditis elegans
Lineage: Eukaryota; Metazoa; Nematoda; Chromadorea; Rhabditida; Rhabditidae
Source: RNAcentral